Molecule: ribosomal RNA, 253 nt
Filed under: uncultured bacterium
Lineage: Bacteria
Description: partial 16S ribosomal RNA
Rfam family: Bacterial small subunit ribosomal RNA
Source: RNAcentral
UACGUAGGUGGCAAGCGUUGUCCGGAAUUAUUGGGCGUAAAGCGCGCGCAGGUGGUUUCUUAAGUCUGAUGUGAAAGCCCACGGCUCAACCGUGGAGGGUCAUUGGAAACUGGGGAACUUGAGUGCAGAAGAGGAAAGUGGAAUUCCAAGUGUAGCGGUGAAAUGCGUAGAGAUUUGGAGGAACACCAGUGGCGAAGGCGACUUUCUGGUUCGAUUCUGACGCUGAGGUACGAAAGCGUGGGGAGCAAACAGG